This is a long non-coding RNA of Raphanus sativus (radish), 628 nucleotides long. RefSeq lists it as uncharacterized. The transcript has 2 exons. The record is from RefSeq and is a predicted model, not a curated record. NCBI's taxonomy places the organism in Eukaryota, Viridiplantae, Streptophyta, Magnoliopsida, Brassicales, Brassicaceae.
UCUCCUCUUAACGAACUCAAAAAUGUUACGUUUCCUGAUCUGACCAUUUGGUGGAGAAUGGAGAUGAGAGGAAAAGUAGUUGCAGCUCCCUCGUGCUCAACCAUUAGCCUUGGAGAAGCUUUGUUGCUAUCUAUCCUCCUCCAUCAACUGUUUGUUUGAAUAGAGAGUAUCUUCAUUAUUCUACCAACAAACUUUGCUAUAUAAUAAGAACCCCCUCCUCUGUUCAUGUAUUCACACAAGACUGCUGAAUUAGAGGUUUCUUCCACAUCUUGACCACACCUGUUGAAUACCUAUCAUGGGACCUGGAGGACCCGGAGGGCCUGGACCUGGAUGGGGACCAGGAGGACCUGGCGGACCAGGAGGGCCUGGACCAGGGAUAUUUCCACCAAUUGGUGGUUUCUUUGCUGGAUUUUCAGACAUGAUAUGUUCCUGUCUGUCUUGUCUCUGCUGCUGCUGGCUUCUACGAGAUUGCUUUGGAGGGCCACCAGCACCUCCACUUCUUCCUCCCUAUUAUUGAUCGCCUCGCCCUGAGUCUUAUCACAAGAAAAUAAUAAAGACUUCUCUCCUGUAAACGAUAUUUGUUACUCAUGUUUCUAUAAAGAACUUCCGAUGGAAAAUCUUAUAUAUA